AGUGAACGCUGGCGGUAGGCCUAACACAUGCCAGUCGAACGGCAGCACAGUAAUAGCUUGCUCUUACGGGUGGCGAGUGGCGGACGGGUGAGGAAUACAUCGGAAUCUACUUUUUCGUGGGGGAUAACGUAGGGAAACUUACGCUAAUACCGCAUACGACCUACGGGUGAAAGCAGGGGAUCUUCGGACCUUGCGCGAUUGAAUGAGCCGAUGUCGGAUUAGCUAGUUGGCGGGGUAAAGGCCCACCAAGGCGACGAUCCGUAGCUGGUCUGAGAGGAUGAUCAGCCACACUGGAACUGAGACACGGUCCAGACUCCUACGGGAGGCAGCAGUGGGGAAUAUUGGACAAUGGGCGCAAGCCUGAUCCAGCCAUACCGCGUGGGUGAAGAAGGCCUUCGGGUUGUAAAGCCCUUUUGUUGGGAAAGAAAAGCAGCAGGUUAAUACCCCGCUGUUCUGACGGUACCCAAAGAAUAAGCACCGGCUAACUUCGUG
Molecule: ribosomal RNA, 492 nt
Filed under: uncultured bacterium
Lineage: Bacteria
Description: partial 16S ribosomal RNA
Rfam family: Bacterial small subunit ribosomal RNA
Source: RNAcentral